Molecule: ribosomal RNA, 486 nt
Filed under: uncultured eubacterium WR8132
Lineage: Bacteria
Description: bacterial SSU rRNA
Rfam family: Bacterial small subunit ribosomal RNA
Source: RNAcentral
GAGUUUGAUCCUGGCUCAGAAUCAACGCUGGCGGCGUGCCUAACACAUGCAAGUCGCACGAGAAAGGGACUUCGGUCCUGAGUAAAGUGGCGCACGGGUGAGUAACACGUGACUUAUCUACCCUCAAGUGAGGAAUAACCUAGGGAAACCUGGGCUAAUACCGCAUAACACUUACGAGUCAAAGCAGCAAUGCGCUUGGGGAGGAGGUCGCGGCAGAUUAGCUAGUUGGCGGGGUAAUGGCCCACCAAGGCGAUGAUCUGUAUCCGGCCUGAGAGGGCGCACGGACACACUGGAACUGAAACACGGUCCAGACUCCUACGGGAGGCAGCAGUGGGGAAUUUUGCGCAAUGGGGGAAACCCUGACGCAGCAACGCCGCGUGGAGGAUGAAGUCUCUUGGGACGUAAACUCCUUUCGAUAGGGACGAUAAUGACGGUACCUAUAGAAGAAGCCCCGGCUAACUUCGUGCCAGCAGCCGCGGUAAUACG